AUUGAACGCUGGCGGCAUGCCUUACACAUGCAAGUCGAACGGCAGCACGGGGCAACCUGGUGGCGAGUGGCGAACGGGUGAGUAAUGCAUCGGAACGUGCCAUUGAGUGGGGGAUAACGUAGCGAAAGUUGCGCUAAUACCGCAUAUUCUGUGAGCAGGAAAGCAGGGGGACCGCAAGGCCUUGCGCUCUUUGAGCGGCCGAUGUCAGAUUAGCUAGUUGGUGAGGUAACGGCUUACCAAGGCGACGAUCUGUAGCGGGUCUGAGAGGAUGAUCCGCCACACUGGAACUGAAACACGGUCCAGACUCCUACGGGAGGCAGCAGUGGGGAAUUUUGGACAAUGGGCGCAAGCCUGAUCCAGCCAUGCCGCGUGAGUGAAGAAGGCCUCGG
Molecule: ribosomal RNA, 389 nt
Filed under: uncultured bacterium
Lineage: Bacteria
Description: bacterial SSU rRNA
Rfam family: Bacterial small subunit ribosomal RNA
Source: RNAcentral